This 256-nucleotide ribosomal RNA is filed under the name uncultured archaeon. Its description in RNAcentral is "partial 16S ribosomal RNA". It matches the Rfam family "Bacterial small subunit ribosomal RNA", at positions 521 to 776 of the family's 1533-position model. The record is from RNAcentral.
UAAGACGAACCGUACAAACGUUAUUCGGAAUCACUGGGCUUAAAGGGUGCGUAGGCGGCGGCGCAAGUUGGGUGUGAAAUCCCUCGGCUCAACCGAGGAACUGCGCUCAAAACUGCGUUGCUUGAGGGAGAUAGAGGUGAGUGGAACUUAGGGUGGAGCGGUGAAAUGCGUUGAUAUCCUAAGGAACACCAGUGGCGUAAGCGACUCACUGGGUCUCUUCUGACGCUGAGGCACGAAAGCUAGGGGAGCGAACGGG